AUUGAACGCUGGCGGCAGGCCUAAUACAUGCAAGUCGAGCGGAGCGGCGGACGGGUGAGUAAUGCCUAGGAAUCCGCCUGGUAGUGGGGGAUAACGUCCGGAUACGGGCGCUAAUACCGCAUACUCUCAUAUGAGCCUUGGUCGGAUUAGCUAGUUGGUGGGGUAAAGGCCUACCAAGGCGACGAUCCGUAACUGGUCUGAGAGGAUGAUCAGUCACACUGGAACUGAGACACGGUCCAGACACCUACGUGAGGCAGCAGUGGGGAAUAUUGGACAAUGGGCGAAAGCCUGAUCCAGCCAUGCCGCGUGUGUGAAGAAGGUCUUCGGAUUGUAAAGCACUUUAAGUUGGGAGGCGUUACCAACAGAAUAAGCACCGGCUAACGUCGUGCCAGCAGCCGCGGUAAUUC
RNAcentral lists this ribosomal RNA (407 nucleotides) under uncultured bacterium. Its description in RNAcentral is "partial 16S ribosomal RNA". It matches the Rfam family "Bacterial small subunit ribosomal RNA", at positions 30 to 526 of the family's 1533-position model. The record is from RNAcentral.